AAAUAAGUUCUUUUUACAAAAUAAGGAUUUUGAAAAUCUUUUUAGGUAUAUUAGUACCGUUUAGUGAA
RNAcentral lists this transfer RNA (68 nucleotides) under Naesiotus nux. Its description in RNAcentral is "tRNA-Ser". Lineage: Eukaryota; Metazoa; Mollusca; Gastropoda; Stylommatophora; Orthalicidae. The record is from RNAcentral.